Zootermopsis nevadensis is the source of this 708-nucleotide non-coding RNA. The record is from RefSeq and is a predicted model, not a curated record. NCBI's taxonomy places the organism in Eukaryota, Metazoa, Arthropoda, Insecta, Blattodea, Termopsidae.
CCAGCUGCUAUCCUCCCUUAAGGACGAAGGUGUCUACAGGAUUCCUCCGGUAGCCAACAUUACAGAAGUAGAGUCCUCUAGAUUCAAUGACACAAGAAAGUGUUCCAAAGUUUUUAAAUUAAACUGAAUAAUUGUAACCAGUGUAACAUUUUAUGCUGCUGAUAAAUAAUUCAGUAACUUAAAAUGGAUCUGGAUCUCUGGGUUCCAGCGCACAGACGUGGAGACAUGACGGGCCGACGGAUCUCCGCGUUGUCACUGGUAAUAAUCUGCAUGUGUAGCAGCCUCGCCUCGGCGGAGCAGACUUCAAGAAGACUAAUAGUUAGAGUGCAACAAUGUUUGCUGAAAGGAAAAGUUUUAGCAUUAUCCAAAACAAGAAAAAGUACGUGGCGUUUCUUGGAAUUCCGUACGCCAAAACUCGUGUCGGUGACCUCAAGUUCAAAGCAAUGGGAAGAUGAUAAGUAACAAUGCGCCUCAAGCGCCGUAACCACGGCAGGAACUCGUGAUGCGACUUUGGAAGGGUACACGUGCACUCAGAGGAGCGACUUGACGAGUUUACUGUCAGGAGAGGACGACUGUCUCUUUCUCAACGUCUUCACGCCAAAGAGAACAAAAGCCAUGAGGUGACUGCUGAAACUAGUAAAUUGGAAGGUAUGUUGUCCAGAUUGCAGUUUGUAUACAAAGUAAGAUGUUCAGACUUCACUGACUUUG